RNAcentral lists this ribosomal RNA (279 nucleotides) under uncultured bacterium. Its description in RNAcentral is "partial 16S ribosomal RNA". It matches the Rfam family "Bacterial small subunit ribosomal RNA", at positions 506 to 784 of the family's 1533-position model. The record is from RNAcentral.
UGCCAGCCGCCGCGGUAAUACGGAGGAUCCAAGCGUUAUCCGGAAUCAUUGGGUUUAAAGGGUCCGUAGGCGGGUUAAUAAGUCAGUGGUGAAAGUCUGCAGCUCAACUGUAGAAUUGCCAUUGAUACUGUUAACCUUGAGUAAUUAUGAAGUGGUUAGAAUAUGUAGUGUAGCGGUGAAAUGCAUAGAUAUUACAUAGAAUACCGAUUGCGAAGGCAGAUCACUAAUAAUUCACUGACGCUGAGGGACGAAAGCGUAGGUAGCAAAUGGGAUUAGAUA